Molecule: transfer RNA, 64 nt
Filed under: Hygrotus confluens
Lineage: Eukaryota; Metazoa; Arthropoda; Insecta; Coleoptera; Dytiscidae
Also listed under: 1 other name
Description: tRNA-Trp
Source: RNAcentral
AAGGAUUUAAGUUAAAAAAACUAACAACCUUCAAAGUUGUAAAUAAAGAAAGCUUUAAGCCUUA